RNAcentral lists this ribosomal RNA (391 nucleotides) under uncultured bacterium. RNAcentral's name for it is "bacterial SSU rRNA". It matches the Rfam family "Bacterial small subunit ribosomal RNA", at positions 29 to 417 of the family's 1533-position model. The record is from RNAcentral.
AUUGAACGCUGGCGGCGUGCCUAACACAUGCAAGUCGAGCGGUAACAGGUGUAGCAAUACAUGCUGACGAGCGGCGAACGGGUGAGUAAUGCUUCGGAAUCUACCCAAUGGUGGGGAAUAACCAGCCGAAAGGUUGGCUAAUACCGCAUACGUCCCACGGGAGAAAGCAGGGGAUCGCAAGACCUUGCGCCAAUGGAUGAGCCGAAGUCGGAUUAGCUAGUUGGAGGGUAACGGCCUACCAAGGCGACGAUCCGUAGCUGGUCUGAGAGGACGACCAGCCACACUGGGACUGAGACACGGCCCAGACUCCUACGGGAGGCAGCAGUGGGGAAUAUUGGACAAUGGGGGAAACCCGUAGAUCCAGCGACGCCGCCGUGUGUGAAGAAAGGCC